Long non-coding RNA from Sitophilus oryzae (rice weevil), 1138 nucleotides. RefSeq lists it as uncharacterized. The transcript has 3 exons. NCBI's taxonomy places the organism in Eukaryota, Metazoa, Arthropoda, Insecta, Coleoptera, Curculionidae. The record is from RefSeq and is a predicted model, not a curated record.
UUUGAUCAGAGAUACUACGCAAGCGCACAACGUCGACGUUGUCAAGUCGCAGAUUAUUUUCGAAUUAUUUUCAGUAGAAAACAUAUGUUUUUUGAGUGUUCAAAUAAAGUAAUAAUACAAAUUCUAUGAUUUAUUUUAUAAUUUAAGAUUUAUCUUGAUAUCAAAAAUUAAAGCAACAACGAUAAUAGAGACUUUGAAGUUAAGGCAACAAUAGUUUUGAUUAUAUGUAUGGAAGUACCUACUACCAUCACGAAGACCUAGGAUACUUCAAAUACCAAUUUGAUAAUUUUAAAGACAUAAAUUACAAUGAUAAAACUUAGUAAAGAGGUAACAGGGUACCUAUUCUUACCCAAUAUGCUUUAAUCUAUGAGUCUUAAGGGGUGAGCAGUAUUCCAUCCCGUGAUUGAUAUUCCAGGAUAAGAUUGAAGGACAUAGAGGACAUGGAAUAAGGAGACCGCGCUCAUGCCUGAGUAACAUGAAUCAGGGAUUUGUAUGAUGCGAAAACAUUGUUUGCAUUGUUGCACUUACUUAAAACAGUUGACCCCACCGUACUAUAGCAUAUUAUGGGACAUGAAGAAUAGCAUAAUACAUAUCAAUGAGAUAGAGAUAUGCUAAGAACAUCACAUAAAUUCGAUUUAAGAAUAGAAAAAUCUUUAGGUAGCAGAAAUAUUAAUGCAUGUCUAAGCAAGAUUAAAUAAGGUAAUUAUUAACGUUGCUGAUUAUAAACAUGAUAUGGAACUACAGCAUUUAAAAAUUUUCAAAAAAAAAGAAGAAACUUUGACACACCCCUUUUAAAUUUUUGAAUUUUAAUAAAGCACUUUUUAAACGAUGCUUAAUUCUAGAGUUUUAUUUCAGUUUAAUUUUAUUGACGAUGAAAAUACCGUAGGAUGAGGAAAAAAACGGCGUUUAGUUGCCUGGAAAUGACGAUUGAUAACAUUCUCCAUAUAGUAUAAUUUUACAUACAAAUAAAAUACAUACAAAAAAUGGCAGCGAUCUUCAUUUCAUAGCCAUCGCUGACGCCGUUUUUAUUCGAUCAUACGGUAUAUGUAGUAUAAGGGUAGUAUUAAGACAUAAAAAAUAUCAUAAAAAUAUUAUAAAAAAUAAUAUGCUCAAAACUCAACCUUCACCAUAUUGUCAA